This is a long non-coding RNA of Leopardus geoffroyi (Geoffroy's cat), 525 nucleotides long. RefSeq lists it as uncharacterized. NCBI's taxonomy places the organism in Eukaryota, Metazoa, Chordata, Mammalia, Carnivora, Felidae. The transcript is spliced from 2 exons. The record is from RefSeq and is a predicted model, not a curated record.
UACUGCAACAGCAGGUCCACGGCCUCUGCCAGGUUGUCCACGUACCCAUCAGCCUUCACUUCUGGAUGGUGCUCGUCACUGGGCCUGGAGAGCAGGGCUACAGCGUCGGCCCAGUGGCUCCCCCGGGGCUGCGGAGGCCCCAAACCGAGAGCCUCGGAGACAACACAAGAGGAUGAGUGCGUGGGACCCCCCCCUCCGCCACCCCCCCACUCGACUCGACCCCGGGGCCAACGACUCGAACAAGAAUAGCUCUCAUGUCAGGGCAGGUAUCCCAGGGGAUUAUUAUUUCAUCCUUGCCAUCACAGCCAUAACCCGACGGACGCGGGGACUGAAGAUUUGUGUUACCCCGCGUCAGUGCCGGAACAGGUACUGGUCACCGUCAAAAGGUUGUAUGUGGCCUGGCCACUCAGCGAACCGUGCGUUGGCCCCUCCUUGCGACCCACCAGUUUCACUCCUACGUGUGCACAUAACACGUUCCUCGAAGGACACGGACCAGAAUGUUCCUAACGGCUUCGGUCACGAUGG